Molecule: ribosomal RNA, 482 nt
Filed under: uncultured bacterium
Lineage: Bacteria
Description: partial 16S ribosomal RNA
Rfam family: Bacterial small subunit ribosomal RNA
Source: RNAcentral
AUUGAACGCUGGCGGCAUGCUUUACACAUGCAAGUCGAACGGUAACAGCACUUCGGUGGCUGACGAGUGGCGAACGGGUGAGUAAUACAUCGGAACGUGCCUAGUAGUGAGGGAUAACUACUCGAAAGAGUAGCUAAUACCGCAUGAGAUCUAAGGAUGAAAGCAGGGGACCUUCGGGCCUUGCGCUACUAGAGCGGCUGAUGGCAGAUUAGGUAGUUGGUGGGAUAAAAGCUUACCAAGCCGACGAUCUGUAGCUGGUCUGAGAGGACGACCAGCCACACUGGGACUGAGACACGGCCCAGACUCCUACGGGAGGCAGCAGUGGGGAAUUUUGGACAAUGGGCGCAAGCCUGAUCCAGCAAUGCCGCGUGCAGGAUGAAGGCCUUCGGGUUGUAAACUGCUUUUGUACGGAACGAAAAGCCCUCUUCUAAUACAGGAGGGUCAUGACGGUACCGUAAGAAUAAGCACCGGCUAACUACGUG